AACGUAGGACGCAAGCGUUAUCCGGAGUUAUUGGGUUUAAAGGGCGCGUAGGCGGCUAACCAAGUCAGUGGUGAAAUCCUGCAGCUUAACUGUAGAAGUGCCUUUGAUACUGGUUGGCUCGAGGGAGGUAGGGGUAUGUGGAACUUCUGGUGGAGCGGUGAAAUGCGCUGAUAUCAGAAGGAACGCCGGUGGCGAAAGCGACGUACUGGACCUCUUCUGACGCUGAGGCGCGAAAGCUAGGGGAGCAAACGGG
This 253-nucleotide ribosomal RNA is filed under the name uncultured Gemmata sp. RNAcentral's name for it is "partial 16S ribosomal RNA". It matches the Rfam family "Bacterial small subunit ribosomal RNA", at positions 524 to 776 of the family's 1533-position model. Lineage: Bacteria; Pseudomonadati; Planctomycetota; Planctomycetia; Gemmatales; Gemmataceae. The record is from RNAcentral.